UAGUGAGUUCAUACACGGCCCGUACCCCAAACCGACACAGGUGAUCAGGUAGAGAAUACCAAGGCGAUCGAGAGAACUGUGGUUAAGGAACUCGGCAAAAUGCCCCCGUAACUUCGGGAGAAGGGGGACCAUGCCCGGUGAACAUCUUCACGGUGGGAGCUGGGUGUGGUCGCAGAGACCAGAGAGAAGCGACUGUUUACUAAAAACACAGGUCCGUGCGAAGACGUAAGUCGAUGUAUACGGACUGACGCCUGCCCGGUGCUGGAAGGUUAAGAGGACCGGUUAGCCGUAAGGCGAAGCUGAGAAUUUAAGCCCCAGUAAACGGCGGUGGUAACUAUAACCAUCCUAAGGUAGCGAAAUUCCUUGUCGGGUAAGUUCCGACCUGCACGAAUGGCGUAACGACUUCUCUGCUGUCUCGACCACAGACUCGGCGAAAUUGCACUACGAGUAAAGAUGCUCGUUACGCGCGGCAGGACGAAAAGACCCCGGGACCUUUACUAUAGCUUGGUAUUGGCGUUCGAUUCGGUUUGUGUAGGAUAGGUGGGAGACUGUGAAGCAUGCACGCCAGUGUGUGUGGAGUCGUUGUUGAAAUACCACUCUGAUCGUAUUGGACGUCUAACCUCGGCCCAUGAUCUGGGUUAGGGACAGUGCCUGGUGGGUAGUUUAACUGGGGCGGUUGCCUCCUAAAGAGUAACGGAGGCGCCCAAAGGUUCCCUCAGCCUGGAUGGCAAUCAGGUGUUGAGUGCAAGUGCACAAGGGAGCUUGACUGUGAGACUGACACGUCGAGCAGGGACGAAAGUCGGGACUAGUGAUCCGGCACCGGCAAGUGGAAGCGGUGUCGCUCAACGGAUAAAAGGUACCCCGGGGAUAACAGGCUGAUCUUCCCCAAGAGUCCAUAUCGACGGGAUGGUUUGGCACCUCGAUGUCGGCUCGUCGCAUCCUGGGGCUGGAGUAGGUCCCAAGGGUUGGGCUGUUCGCCCAUUAAAGCGGCACGCGAGCUGGGUUUAGAACGUCGUGAGACAGUUCGGUCUCUAUCCGCCGCGCGCGUAAGAAACUUGAGGAAGGCUGUCCCUAGUACGAGAGGACCGGGACGGAUGAACCUCUGGUGUGCCAGUUGUUCCACCAGGAGCAUGGCUGGUUAGCUACGUUCGGAAGGGAUAACCGCUGAAAGCAUCUAAGCGGGAAGCCUGUUCCAAGAUGAGGUUUCUCACCACCUUGCGUGGUUAAGGCCCCCUACAGACCAUGGGGUUGAUAGGCCGGAACUGGAAGCGCAGCAAUGCGUGGAGGUGACCGGUACUAAUAGGCCGAGGGCUUA
This 1315-nucleotide ribosomal RNA is filed under the name metagenome. RNAcentral describes it as "bacterial LSU rRNA". It matches the Rfam family "Bacterial large subunit ribosomal RNA", at positions 1623 to 2925 of the family's 2925-position model. The record is from RNAcentral.